AAAACACAAGUACAUGUGAAUCCUCUCCAUUCCUCCCAUGAGUACAACAGAAGACAACAUUUUGGGGUGACUAGAGACAGAUAAAUCCAUCAUCUGCAAUUAAUCCUGCCAUCUUUGAUGAACACUUCACACUUCAUUUUAUAUUUUCACCAUUUGUGACGCAAACCUUGUUUCUGCACAGGUAGUCUAAAUCACCUCUGUUGAGGCUUGUUGUCUCAAUUGGUUUUAAUCUUGGUGCAUGCAAUACAAUCCAUCAGUUUUCUUGUAAAUCAUCACUUCAUUCGAAUAAAGUUUGUCAUUUUAUUUAAAAUAAUAAUCGAAUAUAAUA
Molecule: long non-coding RNA, 328 nt
Organism: Liolophura sinensis
Lineage: Eukaryota; Metazoa; Mollusca; Polyplacophora; Chitonida; Chitonidae
Exons: 2
Source: RefSeq, a predicted model, not a curated record